Molecule: long non-coding RNA, 898 nt
Filed under: Musa acuminata (dwarf banana)
Lineage: Eukaryota; Viridiplantae; Streptophyta; Magnoliopsida; Zingiberales; Musaceae
Description: long non-coding RNA (MACU_LNC007486)
Source: RNAcentral
AAUCAAGAGGAAGGCUUGGGCAGUGGAGUCCAAUUCUCAUAGUAGUCGUGUUGUUUGUCCGCUUGCCUUUUUCUUAUUACUGUUUGAGUUUAGUGUAUUGUCUAGUCGUUGCUUGCCGAUUAUUACUUGAAAGUUGGUAUGGGUAUUAUAACCCGUGUGUUACGCAUCAAAGGGUAGACUCAAUCGAGAGCAGCUUUUCGCCCUAGUUUCUCUAAUCAAAUGCUAGAAAACAACUAAUAAAUAGAAUAUGAGAAAACCAAUAUCAAUACAUAUCAAUACAAUAUCAAUACAUAUCAAUACAAUAUCAAUACAUAUCAAUACAAGUAAGCAGAAUCAUUAAUAUAUGCGAAAAGAAUACCAAUAAGAGAUAGAAUGAAAGUCAUUACUUUCAGAAUGAAACGCUGGAGUUGCGUACUAGGGGACAGGAGAGUAAGAGUCGCAAUAGGGGUUCUGUCGGAUCUAUCUGGUAGAAGAGAAGACUUCUUUUUGUAUUUCUAGUAAGAGGAUAGUUCAUCUAGUCAUAGAGUAAUAGUGUAUUUGGGCAUAGAAUAGAAUACUUGCAGUAAUCACAAGAAUGGAGCUGAUGCUUCUCGGAAUAACUACAAGAAUAGGGAAUUUACAACACCAACAAGGGUCGAUUACAUUGAGCUACUACUUAUCGGAUGGAUUGCCUCGAACAGUGUUUGUUCCCGUCCGUGCAAGUAAGGAUCAUGACCUAGAAGUUCAAGCAUGCAAGUUUGUAGUUGGCUUCUAUACUCCCGGUUCAGGUAUUAGAGUGACAAGCCGAAUUCCAUGUUAGAGGUUGGCCUGGGGCCCAAUGGGUUAAGUAUUAUAAGGUAGUAGAGGUAGCCUUGGAGACAGGUAAGUUAGACUAAAAGCAAAUAAAGUCAGGCGGAGA